CGCUGGUUAGCUCAUUCGGUUAGAGCGUGGUGCUGAUAACACCAAGGUCAAGGGUUCAGAUCCCCUUACCGGCUA
Molecule: non-coding RNA, 75 nt
Organism: Galeopterus variegatus (Sunda flying lemur)
Lineage: Eukaryota; Metazoa; Chordata; Mammalia; Dermoptera; Cynocephalidae
Source: the annotation of a RefSeq genome assembly